Molecule: ribosomal RNA, 253 nt
Filed under: uncultured bacterium
Lineage: Bacteria
Description: partial 16S ribosomal RNA
Rfam family: Bacterial small subunit ribosomal RNA
Source: RNAcentral
UACGAAGGGUGCUAGCGUUGCUCGGAAUUACUGGGCGUAAAGCGCACGUAGGCGGCUUCUUAAGUCGGUGGUGAAAUCCUGGAGCUCAACUCCAGAACUGCCUUCGAUACUGGGAAGCUCGAGUCCGGGAGAGGUGAGUGGAACUGCGAGUGUAGAGGUGAAAUUCGUAGAUAUUCGCAAGAACACCAGUGGCGAAGGCGGCUCACUGGCCCGGUACUGACGCUGAGGUGCGAAAGCGUGGGGAGCAAACAGG